RNAcentral lists this ribosomal RNA (429 nucleotides) under Acidobacteriota bacterium. RNAcentral's name for it is "Acidobacteria bacterium partial 16S ribosomal RNA". It matches the Rfam family "Bacterial small subunit ribosomal RNA", at positions 355 to 776 of the family's 1533-position model. Lineage: Bacteria; Pseudomonadati; Acidobacteriota. The record is from RNAcentral.
UGGGGAAUUUUGGACAAUGGGGGAAACCCUGAUCCAGCCAUCCCGCGUGUGCGAUGAAGGCCUUCGGGUUGUAAAGCACUUUUGGCAGGAAAGAAACGUCAUGGGUUAAUACCCCGUGAAACUGACGGUACCUGCAGAAUAAGCACCGGCUAACUACGUGCCAGCAGCCGCGGUAAUACGUAGGGUGCAAGCGUUAAUCGGAAUUACUGGGCGUAAAGCGUGCGCAGGCGGUUCGGAAAGAAAGAUGUGAAAUCCCAGAGCUCAACUUUGGAACUGCAUUUUUAACUACCGGGCUAGAGUGUGUCAGAGGGAGGUGGAAUUCCGCGUGUAGCAGUGAAAUGCGUAGAUAUGCGGAGGAACACCGAUGGCGAAGGCAGCCUCCUGGGAUAACUCUGACGCUCAUGCACGAAAGCGUGGGGAGCAAACAGG